CAUGGAUUAGGCAUGCAAGUCGAGCGAGAAGUUUAAGUUUGACGCUUCGGUUGAUUCUUAAACGGAAAGCGGCGCAAGGGAGAGUAACGCGUAGUUAUCUGCCCCAAGGUCCGGAAUAGCCUCGGGAAACUGAGGGUAAUGCCGGAUAAUAUCCCCGGAUCAAAGGUGUGAUUCCGCCUUGGGAGGAGACUGCGUUGUACUAGCUUGUUGGUGGGGUAAUGGCCUACCAAGGCGAUGAUGCAUAGCGGGCGUGAGAGCGUGGCCCGUCUCACUGGGACUGAAACACCUGCCCAGACACCUACGGGUGGCUGCAGUCGAGAAUCUUCGGCAAUGGGCGAAAGCCUGACCGAGCGAUGCCGCGUGCGGGAUGAAGGCCUUCGGGUUGUAAACCGCUGUCAGUUGGGAGGAAGGCUCCGUGAAGAGCGGAGCUUGACCUAUCUUCAGAGGAAGUCCGGGCUAAGUUCGUGCCAGCAGCCGCGGUAACACGAACCGGACAAACGUUAUUCGGAAUUAUUGGGCUUAAAGGGUGCGUAGGCGGCGCGGUAAGUGAGGUGUGAAAUCCCACGACUCAAUCGUGGAACUGCGCUUCAUACUGCCGUGCUAGAGGGAGACAGAGGUAAGCGGAACUGAUGGUGGAGCGGUGAAAUGCGUUGAUAUUAUCAGGAACACCAGUGGCGAAAGCGGCUUACUGGGUCUCUUCUGACGCUGAGGCACGAAAGCUAGGGUAGCGAACGGGAUUAGAUACCCCGGUAGUCCUAGCUGUAAACGAUGAGCACUUGGUUGGGGAUCCUCCCAUAGGUUCCCGACCGUAGCGAAAGUGUUAAGUGCUCCGCCUGGGGAGUAUGGUCGCAAGGCUGAAACUCAAA
This 866-nucleotide ribosomal RNA is filed under the name uncultured bacterium. RNAcentral's name for it is "bacterial SSU rRNA". It matches the Rfam family "Bacterial small subunit ribosomal RNA", at positions 43 to 905 of the family's 1533-position model. The record is from RNAcentral.